Long non-coding RNA from Ananas comosus (pineapple), 1799 nucleotides. RefSeq lists it as uncharacterized. The transcript has 9 exons. The record is from RefSeq and is a predicted model, not a curated record. NCBI's taxonomy places the organism in Eukaryota, Viridiplantae, Streptophyta, Magnoliopsida, Poales, Bromeliaceae.
UGAACCACAACUAAACCUCAUGGACCAAACCCCACAAACCAUACACCAAACCUCAUGGACCAAAUCCCAUGAACCAUACAUCCAACCUAAUACCCAUAUCCCAUAAACCAAUACCCAAAUCCCAUGAACCAAUACCCAGAUCUCAUACCCAUAUCUUAUGAACCAAUUAGACUCUAAUACAUAGAGUUUAAUAUCGAUUAGGUCUUAACACAUAUACUUAGGGCCUAAUCAACCUCAAAUCCAACUGAAUCCUAAUACAUAUACUUAGGAUUCAGUAAACCAAGAUACGAUCCAUCUCAUCCAAUCUAUAAAGGUCUCUUAAUCGAAGGUGCCCCAAUCUACAGGGGGUAAUUAACAGUAGAUGCUUGCAUCUAUUGGAAGCCAUGGACUCGCAAAACCUGAUACCCACAUAUACAUAUAAAUACUCAUCUGAAUCAUGAAUACUACCCCACGGCCCCGAAAAAUUCAUCGACCGUGCGAGGUACGUCAUUCGUGGAGGCAGACAGAAGAAAAGGGAGUUGCUGCAGGGCUGCAACUUUGGUGGAUCUAGGUGCCCGAAUUGAAGAAGAUUGGUGGAGCCGCUUUGGUAUUCCGAAUUAAAGAAGACCUGGUAGACUUUUAAAUCUAGGGGCUGCGAAGGAGAAAGCGAAGUGCAGAAUUUCAGCAUCAUUUCCUUGCUGUUGGAGCUGAAAGAAAGUUUGUAGAGAAGAAAAUCAGCUGAAGAACCAUUGAAACCUGAGCCUAGGAGCAGGUUUGGAGGGAGUUUCUUGCUGGUGGAGUUGCCGAGCAAGAAGUCAGCUGAGAGAGACUUUUGAGUAGGAAAAUUCAGCUAAGGAGGUGUAACACUUAUGGUAAACAAUUUGAUUCUCAGCUGAAUUUGAGUAUUAUUAUCUUAGGAGGGUUUAAAGGACUAAAGUUGUAGUCUCUAAGUGUGCUGUGAAGAGAAUUGUGGAGCUACUGGAGAGCUGCCUUAUGGAGAUCUGGGCGCCCAAUUGAAGAGGGAUUUUGGUGAAGUUUCCAACUAGGGGCUGUGAAGGAAGAGUGAAGUGCAGAUUUUUAGAGUUUCCUUUUGCUGUUAGAGCUGAAAGUGAACUUGGGGGAGUUCAAACUCAGGUUAACAGGGCUGCAAGGAGGAAAGUAGUAGAGUAUAUUUCAGCAUUGAAGUCUAAUUGCUGUUGGAGUUGGAACAAGUUGAUUAGGCAGUAAAUUAAGGGCUGCUGCUGCAGGGUGGCUGCCUGGAUGAUAUAUGGAUGCAGGAACUGGGCGCCCACCUUGAAGAAACCUUGGUGGAGCUUCUUUGGUAGUUCAACUGCAGCAAAUCUGAUGGAGCCUUGAAUUAGGAAGGAAAAUUUGACGUGCCCGGAAGCUCGAGUUGACAUUCCGACGUACCUACGGUUCACUAAUUGAGGUAGUGUUAUCUCUAGUUGCACCGAGUCGCGAGAGCUCGUGGUGGAUACGUUCUGAGACGUUGAUUCUAGAUUGUUGGCAUCCCUACAGGAAGGUCGCUCCUCCUUGAACAAUGAGCUCUGGAGUAGUCAUCUUAACUGGACCAGAAGGUAGCGUCUCCCCCAGUUGACAGUCCCGUCGGGAUGUAGCUUGCGUCUCCCCAAUAUUUGGGAUAUCGUCGGUUCCAGCGCGAGUGGUGUGGCCGAGGAUCGCGGCAAGAGCCCAGCAGCUUAGCUAGCAGACACCCGAGUUUAGUGGUAUACCAUUUUGAGUUAUGUUGUACAUAUUUGAUGUAAAGAAAAAUGUAAAUGAAAGUGUAAAUAAUGUAAAUAACUAAAUGCUUUAGUUAUCCA